AGGAUAAACGCUGGCGGCGUGCCUAACACAUGCAAGUCGAACGCGCUUUCGGGCUUCGGUGCGAGAGCGAGUGGCGGACGGGUGAGUAACACAUGGGUACCUACCUUGGAGUGAGGGAUACCGGCGAGAAAUCGCCGACAAUACCGCAUAGGCUUCUUCACAAGGGAAGCAAAGUGACGCGAGUCACGCUUUGAGAUGGGCCUGUGGCCGAUUAGCUAGUUGGGGGGGUAACGGCUUCCCAAGGCGACGAUCGGUAGCUGGUCUGAGAGGACGAUCAGCCACACUGGGAUUGAGAACGGCCCAGACUCCUACGGGGGCAGCAGUGAGGAAUUUUCCGCAAUGGAGGCAACUCUGGCGGAGCAACGCCGCGUGCAGGAGGAAGGUUUUCGGAUCGUAAAACUGACUUUUCUCGGGGACGAGGCAAAGGGACGGUACCCGAGGAAGAAGCCCCGGAUAACUACGUGCCAGCAGCCGC
This 475-nucleotide ribosomal RNA is filed under the name uncultured bacterium. RNAcentral's name for it is "SSU rRNA". It matches the Rfam family "Bacterial small subunit ribosomal RNA", at positions 26 to 518 of the family's 1533-position model. The record is from RNAcentral.